Molecule: long non-coding RNA, 285 nt
Organism: Ricinus communis (castor bean)
Lineage: Eukaryota; Viridiplantae; Streptophyta; Magnoliopsida; Malpighiales; Euphorbiaceae
Exons: 2
Source: RefSeq, a predicted model, not a curated record
UGAUUUGCUACACUUAUUGCUAUCUCGGGUCUGGUUCUUUUUGCCCAUUUAAUUGGAAAUAUGCAGACUUGCAAAGAGUUCUUCUAGCAUUCCAAUGAUCUCAGUGAGCAAUCCGGAGAAAGGAGCCUUGUGGUUAUGUUCUUAUGAUGAGGGAGUUUCUCUACUACCUUAUGUGUUUCUGUACAAUAAUUUAAGCUAAGCUAAGUUGUAUGUAUUUGUAGGGUUCAACACUUUGAAUGUUCGAGGAGGAAUUAUUUUACAUUGAAAUAUGAUUUUUUUUCUUAA